This 76-nucleotide transfer RNA is filed under the name Isobaculum melis. Its description in RNAcentral is "tRNA_Lys_CTT". It matches the Rfam family "tRNA". From Rfam's summary of the family: Transfer RNA (tRNA) molecules are approximately 80 nucleotides in length. Their secondary structure includes four short double-helical elements and three loops (D, anti-codon, and T loops). Further hydrogen bonds mediate the characteristic L-shaped molecular structure. tRNAs have two regions of fundamental functional importance: the anti-codon, which is responsible for specific mRNA codon recognition, and the 3' end, to which the tRNAs corresponding amino acid is attached (by aminoacyl-tRNA synthetases). tRNAs cope with the degeneracy of the genetic code in two manners: having more than one tRNA (with a specific anti-codon) for a particular amino acid; and 'wobble' base-pairing, i.e. permitting non-standard base-pairing at the 3rd anti-codon position. The record is from RNAcentral. Lineage: Bacteria; Bacillati; Bacillota; Bacilli; Lactobacillales; Carnobacteriaceae.
GGGUUGUUAGCUCAGUUGGUAGAGCAGCAGACUCUUAAUCUGCGGGUCGCGGGUUCGAUCCCCUCACAACCCAUCA